GGCGGGGCCGGGAGGGGCCGCCAGGCACUCUACCCCCUGGGGUUAGCAUAGCUUUUGUACUGCUGCUGAGCCACUAGGUCGUCACGUGAGACUCUUCUCCAAGCUUGCCUUAUUACCACACCCUACAAGCCCAGAGCCAAGAGACCUCUCCAGUUUCUUACAGCCGGUUCUCACAUUGAUUCCUCCCAGGUUUUGUUCUAUUCCCUCCAGGCCCCUCUCCAAAGUGCCACACCCUAAUUAUCAAUCUUUUGGACACCUACCUUGAAAGCCUUAUGGAUGACUCCGGGUUCUACUUGCCCUGACCUUACUUUCCAGCCAAAGCUACUCCUAAACUAGCAAUGGCUCCGCGGGCCCUAGGAGACCCAAGUUCAAACACUAGGGCCAAUUUGAUGCCUUCCUUACUCUCACACCUUAAUCCUAUCAUUCCUGACCCCUAAAUAUCUUCCCACCCAUCCAUUUGCCAAUGCCAAACUCCAAGCCUCUCCAGCUCCCUAUUGCCAAAUUACACUUAGUCCCAACCAAUUAUUCUUCCUUUACAGACAGUUAGAAUGAGCCUUCUAAUACUCAAAUUUCUGAUCUGAAGGGUUCAUUAGCUCCUUACUAACCACCACUUUAAAUUUACAAUUACAUUGGCCUCUUAGUGAUAAGUGAUGUUAGCUGGCACCUGAAGUCAAAGAGAGAUAAAAGAUAGAAGAAAAGCCUGAGAAUGCUGUCUCCGGAAAGAAAGGCAUGCUGGCAGACCUGAAGCCACAUCUGAGGUAUACACAUGGUGCACAUCAUUGAUGGCAGAAAGAAGAAGAAGAAGAAGAAGAAGAAGAAGAAGAAGAAGAAGAAGAAGAAGAAGAAGAAGAAGAAGAAGAAGAAGAAGAAGAAGAAGAAGAAGAAGAAGAAGAGGAAGAAGGGAAGAAGGUGGGGGAGGAAAGGACAUGUCUUCCUGUGAGAAAGGAGCCUGCCCCACAUGUGGCUCAUACAUAUACAGACACCAAGCUGUCAAACUGCAAAGAAGUGCAGGCUGACAGGAACCGGAUGUAGAUCUCUCCUGAGAGACACAGCCAGAAUACAGCAAAUACAGAGGCGAAUGCCAGCAGCAAACCACUGAACUGAGAACGGGACCCCCGUUGAAGGAAUCAGAGAAAGAACUGGAAGAGCUUGAAGGGGCUCGAGAUCCCAUAUGAACAACAACGCCAACCAACCAGAGCUUCCGGGGACUAAGUCACUACCCAAAGACUAUACAUGGACUGACCCUGGACUCUGACCUCAUAGAUAGCAAUGAAUAGCCUUAAGAGCAUCAGUGGAAGGGGAAGCCCUGGGUCCUGCUAAGACUGAACCCCCAGUGAACGGGAUUGUUGGGGGGAGAGUGGUAAUGGGGGGAGGAUGA
Molecule: long non-coding RNA, 1378 nt
Organism: Rattus norvegicus (Norway rat)
Lineage: Eukaryota; Metazoa; Chordata; Mammalia; Rodentia; Muridae
Source: RefSeq, a predicted model, not a curated record